GAGCGAGCAAUUCUCUCUGAAUCUGCGAACGGCUCCGCAAACCAGUUGUAAACCGAGGCGAGGAUGCCCACCCCCUGUCCGGGUAAAACCGGGCUGUGGGGUGCGGUUAUAGGGAUACCCCUGGUAAUUCUGAGGCUAAUACUCGUUUCGUACCCCCUGGACCACCCCAUUUGCAAGGUGGCUGGGGACCGUGCGAUCCGGAUAAAGGCGGUAGGAUUUUUUUAAAUAAAAAAUUACCACGAAAGGGCGCACAGUCAAACCGCGGAACUCUCUUUUAAUUAAGGGGGGGACCGGCUUUUUGCCGGUCCUCGCGGGUCUUGCACGGUGCUUCUGACCUAUCAACUGUACGGCAGUGUCAGGGACGUGCCGUGGUUACAACGGGUACAGAGGAUUAGGGUUUGAUCCCGGAGAGUGGGCCUGAGAGAUUGCUCACACUUCUAAGGAAGGCAGCAGGCGCGUAACGUUCCCAUUGGGCAAAGCCCGAGGGCGUUAGGGGACAUAUGAAUGUCCGCCGAAAUGGUGGACAAUUCAAAUGGGACCGGUCUAAACCGCCCAUCGAGUAACAAUUUAGAGGACAAGUCUGGUGAACGGACGGACGGGGGGGGGGGGGGUGAACGAGGCGUUAGGGGCUAUGAUGUCCGCCGAUGGUGGACAAUUCAAUGGGACCGGUCUAAACCGCCCAUCGAGUAACAAUUAGAGGACAAGUCUGGUGAACGGACGGACGGGGGGGGGGGGUUGGAUUCCUUGUUAAGGUUUUUCGAAAUAAAUUCCCCCUCCCCCCCCCCCCCCCCCCAAAUGUCUACUACUGCGUAGUAGGCAGAAAGUCGGUCAGCUCCGACUGUACAACCGUAAAUUGCGGGAAAAGCCAGCCAUGACUGGGGUACCAAAGCCCCCGGGAAUUUUAACCGGUGGUCGCGUUUUCACCUUUUCCGUCCUCCCCGUCUUCACCCCCACCCACCACCCCUUCCGAGGGGCAGUGAGCGAGGGAGAGGGGGGCGGUUCGGGUGAAGACCGGGUAACAAUCCUCACUCAGGAGUCCUUUGUCCGGGACUGUAUCCAACUGGCCAAUCCGCAGCCAAAUUGUUAAAAUCCCCGCCCCCCCGGGGAAGUGCGAGAGGUUCAGAGACUAUUAUCGGUUGGGCGCAAGCUUAAGGGAUAGUCCAUUCCCCCCAGCAAUGGGGCCGGCGGAAGUAUCGGGGGAUUCGCUCCCCCCGAGAGGCACGCCCGGGUCCUUCGAAGGUGUGGGUUAAAUGCCACUCCGAUGAAACGGGACGGUAUAGCAAGGCCAGCACCCGCGGUAAUUCCAGCUCUAAUAGCAUACGUUAAAGUUGUUGCGGUUAAAACGCUCGUAGUCUGCAUCAGACCGUCAGAAACCGGAGCCCGCGAACCCUUUCCGAAGCCCUUCCCGGGCACGCGGUUGGGGACCUCGCGGCGAAGGCGGACGUCGGUCGAAAGCGGUCCAGGACGUCUUUCUUCGCCCCUCCCCUCCGGGGGAGACCAGGUGGGGACUGUUUGUACAGGGUAAUUUCGUCCGUCCUUUUCGGGUGGCGAUUUUGCCUGGUCCGGGCUGCCGUUUACCAUGACCAAACCGGCGUGUUCGAGGCAAGUCUAUCCCGACUCGUACGGAGCAGCAUGGCAUAACUAAACCCGGCUCGAUCCGAUGUUGAGACCCAAAAAAGGUCCCUACCGCUGGGGUUGAGCCGGGUAGAUGCGAAAGGGGUGUUCGAGGGUGACCGAAUUGCCAGGCGAGCGGUGAAAUGUGUUGACCCCGGCAAGUCGACCAAAGGCGAAAGCAGUCAUCAAGGGCACGCCCGUUGAUCAAGAGCGAAAGUUAAGGGUUCGAAAAUGAUCAGAUACCGUUGUAGUCUUAACUAUAAAUGAUACGGACCGGAGACGGGACAAUGUCCUUCUCGACUCCUCCCGGAUCCUAAAGAAAUUUAAGUGUUUGGGUUCCGGGGGGAGUAUGGUCGCAAGGCUGAAACUUCAAAACCCCCCCCGUGGGGUUUCGAGAGUCGGCCCGAAAGGGUCCGGCUAGUCCCGGUGGGGAAUCGGGGGAGCGAUCUCCUGAUCCCCGCUACCGGUGAAUUUGACCACCGGUUUGUAACCCAGGCCAACCACCGGUCAAAUUGUUCGGGAACCCCCUAAAAGCUCACGCUACCACCUGCGCGGUUAACGACCGAAAAAAUCAAGGGCCCCGACCCCCUACCGGGGAUAGCCGCUUGCGCACGGAACCAGGGUAAUGACCUCGGGCACGGUAAAAACGCGUGAGAUGAUGACGACCGGGAUGGAGCGGAUGGGGGCAAGCCUCCACCCCACCCCACCCCGGUCUGAUGAAAUGGGAAACCUGCAGCCAAGCCCGUUCAAAAGGCUCCCUCUUCCGGCCGGGGGGGGGGCAAACGGGUGCAGUUCACAGGCCAAAUGUCGGUGGGCUCCCGUUUCCCGAGCCGCGAAAGCGGUGAGGACAAGCGGGGGCAUAAGAUAUGGUCGGCCCCCCGGGGAAACUCGGGGAAACAAGCGUAAAGGAAUUGACGGAAGGGCACACAAAGAGUGGAACCUGCGGCUUAUAAUUUGACUCGAGUUAGGCCGCAAGAGUCGGGAUCGAGAAUGGUUGGUUUAACCGGUGUAUCUCCGGGGGCGGUCAAAUAUUUUGCGGGAUGCAUCGCGAUAUCGAUAAAAAAACGCCGGUUAAACGCAGCUUGCCUCGAUUUUUGCCGGCUAGUCGAUCUCCCAAGCGAGGGUUGAGCGGGAUGACGGCGAGACAACCUGGUACGAGGGAAAUCUGUCAAAGACUACCCCUCCCCCGGACUUUGUCCGGGUGGGGGGGGGGUCUACACUCAGACAAUCUCAUGGCGAGCUACCUCCGGGCGACCGGGGGAUAGCCGUCGUAACGCACGGAAAGGUGUCGGGUGCUCUCGGGGGAUUUCGUCCUCUCUCGGACGAAGCCCCGAGGCAUCUUAAGGAACGUGCUACUCCCACCCCGCGAGGGUGUCCCCCGGACCCGAGCUCUCAACCAGCGAAGGGUCCCCCGGGAGGCCGCUUGAUCCCCAGAGGAAAUGCUGGGGUUAAGGCCGGUACAGUCUGACCCCCCCCCCCCCCCCCCCGGGUCGGACUUUAGGUAAUUUGACUCAACACGGGAAAACUCACCGGGUCCGGAUACGCGAAUGAAAGACAAGCCGGAGACUUUUCUAAAUGACGUAAGUGGUGGUGCAUGGUCGUUCUUAGUUCGUGGAUCGAUUUGUCUGGUUGAUUCCGAUAACGAGCGAGACCCCGAUGAUCCUAGUAGGGGCGGGAGCCCGGCUUGCCGCGAGGCUUGCUAGCACCCGUCCUCUCGAUGCUUCUUAGACAUAUCGGGGCCGAAAAGGUCCCUGAGAUGGGUUAAUAACAGGUCAGUCAUGCCCUUAGAUGUUCCGGGCCGCACGCGCGUUACAAUGGCACGACCCAGAGAGUGCUCGACAAUAAGGGCUAUCCCGGGACCUUCGGGUCUCGGUAACCCGUAAGUCUAGCCUUGACGGGGACAGAUUUUUGCAAUUAUUGGUCUCCAACGAGGAAUUUUUAGUAAGCGCCGGUCAUUAACCCGUGCUGAAUGAGUCCCUGCCCUGACGGGCACCGGUGGUUGCCCGGACGAAAACCUCCCGAACCCCCCACCCCCGCUGUAAACCCCGGGACCUCUCCCGCUCUGCCCUCGCUUCCGCGAUUCCCCCCCUGAAGAAACGGGUUUAUCCCGGACUAAUCCGGGGUUGGGGACGAGGAAACCACGGGGACACAGCCCGAGAGAGAACGGGGUCCGCGGUGGGGACGGGUCUAGGGUAAGCAGUAGUCCGAAGAUCAUCGGUAAAAGGGGCAAAAAGGCACGCGCGAACCCCGGAGCCUAGUCCGAGGGAGCUCUCGCAAGAGGGCUCCCGGCGCCCGAAAGUACGGGCGACCCAUCCCUUCCGGGUUUGGGGCGGGCUACACUGGCCUAAAAGAGCGGAAACGUCCUGCCCCAAAUGCCCCCUACCUACCAAGCCGCUGUUUGAAAAGACGCGGUGGCCUCCGGGUAAUGCCGGAGGGUACGGUAACAACGGUACGGGGGCUGGGACGAAUCUGCACAAGCUCGGGGUCCCCUUCCCCUCGGGGGAUGGGGAUCUACGGGUGCAGUUACCAGACCAAACGCCAGUGGGUGAGACCGAACAAAGCCGGAGGGAGGAAGGACCAAAAAAACUCCUCCCCCCCUCAGGCUCUGGGAGGUCUCGCUUAAGAUACGGUCGAAUCACCUCUCAUCCCCCCGGUUAAAUCCGGGAGGAGAGAUGAUUUUUUGGUAAGCUUCGUUGAAGCGAGCGAUCGCCCAAUGGGAGCCUUCUGAACUGGAUUCAAUUACGAAAAAAGGAGGGGUAGCCCCGGGAUUAUCCCGGGGCUCAUCGGUGAUCCUUAAUUCCGAGGACGGACGACCCCUUGCUUUGCCCAUACAUCGAGGUGCCAAAGGGUACCCCCUUUGGAUAUUUUUCGAGCCGGAUGGUCCACCGGCAUUUGGGAUUUUUAAUGCUCCGACAAAGUCGGACGAUUUUGAAAGCCGAAAAAAUUUUUGAGCUCUGGUCAAGCUCAAAAAUCGUGCCCCGAGAAUCUCGGAGCAACAUACGUACGCCCGCCCGUUGCCCGCCGGUCUGAUGGGGUUUAGACCGUGCUGGUAAAAAAAGAAAUCCCCUCCCCCCCCGGUCCUGGUAGCGUGCCCGGGGAUCGUACAACCGGCUUUGGCCGGUUGUACACACCGCCCGUCGCUGCUACCGAUUGGGUUUUGCGGUUACGAGUUCAGAGGACGGGGUCAGCGCCUGCUCU
This 4812-nucleotide ribosomal RNA is filed under the name Kelleromyxa fimicola. RNAcentral's name for it is "partial 18S ribosomal RNA". The stretch from base 1 to 2011 matches the Rfam family "Eukaryotic small subunit ribosomal RNA". Lineage: Eukaryota; Evosea; Eumycetozoa; Liceales; Liceaceae. The record is from RNAcentral.